AUUAAUAAUUAAUAUAUUUAAUAAAAAUAAUUUUAAUUUAAUAAGUAUUUUAAUGGGGGUUAAAGUAUUUUUUAAAGAAAAAAUUUUUAAAUUUAUAGUUAAUUAGUAUUGUGAAAGAAUUUUGAAAUAUUAUGAAAAAUAAAAUUUUUAGAAAGUAAUUUUUAUUUAUUGUAUCUUGUGUAUCAGAGUUUAUUAAAAAUUUUUAAUUUAUGAAUUAAUUUCUCGAAUUUAAAAGAGUUAAAUAAUUAUUAAAGUUAUUGUAGCAAAAUUAUUUUAAAUAAUUAUUUAGAAAUGAAAUGUUAAUCGUUUUUAAAUAUAUCUAGUUUUUAUAGAAAAAAAUUUAAUUUUAAAUUUAAAAAUUAUUUAAUUAAUUUAUUAAUUAAAUAGUUACUUAAAUUUUAUAAUUUAAGGGAUAAGCUUUAAAUUAAAUUUUUAUAAUAUUAAAUUUUUAUUUUGAAAAUUUUAUAAUUUAUAUUGUUAAUAAAUUUUAUUUUGUUAUAAAUAAUUUCAUUUUUUUUAAAAUUUAAAUUUUAUUUAAUUUUUUAUAUAAAAUUUAUUUAUAAUUAUAUAAAGUUAAUUAUAAUGAUAAAAUUAGUAUAUUAUUUAAUAUUAAAUUGAAAUUAAUUUUUGAUUAAUAAUUAAAUUAAUUAAAAGGAAUUCGGCAAAUAUUUAUUUUCACUUGUUUAUCAAAAACAUGUCUUUUUGUUAUUUAAUUUAAAGUCUAAUCUGCCCACUGAUUUAUAAAAAUUGAAGGGCUGCAGUAUAUUGACUGUACAAAGGUAGCAUAAUCAUUAGUCUCUUAAUUGGUGACUUGUAUGAAAGAUUGGAUGAAAAAU
RNAcentral lists this ribosomal RNA (836 nucleotides) under Biston falcata satura. Its description in RNAcentral is "partial 16S ribosomal RNA". Lineage: Eukaryota; Metazoa; Arthropoda; Insecta; Lepidoptera; Geometridae. The record is from RNAcentral.